GAUGAACGCUGGCGGCGUGCUUAACACAUGCAAGUCGAACGAAGCACUUUACUACGAUUUCUUCGGAAUGACGGUUUUGUGACUGAGUGGCGGACGGGUGAGUAACGCGUGGAUAACCUGCCUCAUACAGGGGGAUAACAGCCGGAAACGGCUGCUAAUACCGCAUAAGCGCACGGUACCGCAUGGUACAGUGUGAAAAACUCCGGUGGUAUGGGAUGGAUCCGCGUCUGAUUAGCCAGUUGGCGGGGUAACGGCCCACCAAAGCGACGAUCAGUAGCCGACCUGAGAGGGUGACCGGCCACAUUGGGACUGAGACACGGCCCAGACUCCUACGGGAGGCAGCAGUGGGGGAUAUUGCACAAUGGGGGAAACCCUGAUGCAGCGACGCCGCGUGGAGGAAGAAGGUUUUCGGAUUGUAAACUCCUGUCGUUAGGGACGAUAAUGACGGUACCUAACAAGAAAGCACCGGCUAACUACGUG
RNAcentral lists this ribosomal RNA (480 nucleotides) under uncultured bacterium. RNAcentral's name for it is "bacterial SSU rRNA". It matches the Rfam family "Bacterial small subunit ribosomal RNA", at positions 28 to 507 of the family's 1533-position model. The record is from RNAcentral.